Erinaceus europaeus (western European hedgehog) is the source of this 1779-nucleotide long non-coding RNA. RefSeq lists it as uncharacterized. Lineage: Eukaryota; Metazoa; Chordata; Mammalia; Eulipotyphla; Erinaceidae. The transcript is spliced from 3 exons. The record is from RefSeq and is a predicted model, not a curated record.
CAGCCCAGCGUGGCGGCUGACCCCAGGCAGCGGGGUGGGGCCCCCGGAUGCCAUCCUGGGGCCCCGCUCGUGAGGUCACAAUGGCCCUUCCAACAGUACCCAGGGGCCCCCCUGGCAGGGACAGACAACUCCUCAGUCGCUAGACCCCAGCUGGCCGCCAUCUCAGAGGUUGGCCAGGCCUGGAGUAGUCAGCCCAGCUCAUGGCCAUUGUCAGAGAGAAGUAAAUGGCCUAAGAACACAGCAGAGAGCCUGGGUCGUGAGAGCCCACUGCAGCACGUGGCCCGUGGGGAGCUGAAGUGUGUGCAGAAGUCUCCAGCUCCUGCUCCUGCUCGGUGCCCCUUGAGGUCUGUCCCCAGACAGAAAGGGAAGCCACAUCCACGGGGCCAUCUCUGCACCUAGGCUGGGGUCUCCCAUGGGUGGGGGGGGUCAGGCUGUGUGGCAGUGCAGAAAUGGCACCUGUGUUCCACCCCCUGAGCAGCCUGAGGAACCUGGACCCCAGAGUCCAGGGCGGUGAGGAGCCAGGACCUGGAGCCACAAAAGGCACCUGCUGGCCCAGGCCCACCCAGCUCAGGGCUUGAGCCCAUUUCCUCUCCCUCCAGGGCCUGGAAGUUCUGCUCCUCAGACCCAAAGUGGGUCCCCAGGGAGGGGGUGCUGGCUGGAGCCACGUCUGGGGGCUCCACGCCGGACAGGGCCCACAGCACCAGCUCCACCAGGCUGUGAGCCGCCCUCAGACGCUCUGACUCAAGCUGUGGAUGGUGUUUGACCACAGGUGAAAACAGAAAGAAAAAGCCAGAUAGAGGCUCACAGCACAGCCUUUACUAACAGCUGCAGGCGGCCAGGCUCCCACCGCCAGGGGACUAAUUAAUGCCAAACGAUGAACUCAAACACAUCAGCGCUGAUCACAACAGAGAGAGGGAGAGGAACAGGGAGAAAGAGAGAAAGAGAAGGGAAGAGAGAGAGAGAUGGAGAGUGAGAGGAAGGGAAAAAGAGGGAGAGAGACUGAACACUUGCUCAGAGAAGAUCAGCCACCCACACGGACGGAACCCCCAUACACAAAUGGGACCCUCCAUAUGGACAAAAACCUAACAUAUAACCCAGGACCCCACACACGGCCCAGGACCCCAGUGGGCAGAGAGCUGGGUGACCCACAGCCUCAGGCACUGAGGCCUCUGGGAUGUUUCAUUUCCUGUUCACAUCUUUGCUGCCCCCCCCUGAAAAUAAAUCUUGAAAAACUAGAAACCAGCCAGCACUGGGGUAACCCCAGGGUGUGGCAGGGAGCUGUGGGGGGGGGUCUCUGCCUCCACAAGGUAAGAAGGGAGGAAGGGUUGGCAGGAGCUGAGCCAGGAAGCCAGGACUGGGAUGGGGACAGGACAGGGAAGGGGAUGGGGGGACAGGGGUUAGGGAGAUGGGGGCUACCUACAGGGGCUACGGGGGUGGGGACAGGGACAGGGGUUAGGGGGAUGGAGACAGAGAUGGGGGACAGAGAUGGGGGACAGGGAUAGGGAUGGGGGGGCAGAGACAGGGAGAUGACAACCAGAGAGCAUUUACUGAGAGGAGAAGAGAGGCCCUGCUCCUGUGGGCACUUGCCCUAGGCCCUGGGUUCCAGCCCCGGCAUGAGCAGGAACUGAUGGGGCUUUGGCUGCAUCAAUUGGAGAAGAGGAAGAGGAACCAGUGAGAAAAAGUAAAGACCUUGCCCAAUACCAGGGGGCCAGUGUCAUGUGCCAUAGCCUGCGUCAAGCUGCACCUCAAGCCUGCAGCCCAGGCUCCCCCCCAGCCUAG